Molecule: ribosomal RNA, 520 nt
Filed under: uncultured Glomus
Lineage: Eukaryota; Fungi; Glomeromycota; Glomeromycetes; Glomerales; Glomeraceae
Description: SSU rRNA
Rfam family: Eukaryotic small subunit ribosomal RNA
Source: RNAcentral
AGCAGCCGCGGUAAUUCCAGCUCCAAUAGCGUAUAUUAAAGUUGUUGCAGUUAAAAAGCUCGUAGUUGAAUUUCGGGAUCAAUACGUCGGUCGUGCUUCGGUACGUACUGGCGUAAUUGAUUUCUCCCUUCUGACGAACCAUGAUGUCAUUAACUUGGUGUCAUGGGAAAUCAGGACUGUUACUUUGAAAAAAUUAGAGUGUUUAAAGCAGGCUCACGCUUGAAUACAUUAGCAUGGAAUAAUGAAAUAGGACGUUCGAUCCUAUUUUGUUGGUUUUUAGGAUCAACGUAAUGAUUAAUAGGGAUAGUUGGGGGCAUUAGUAUUCAAUUGUCAGAGGUGAAAUUCUUGGAUUUAUUGAAGACUAACUACUGCGAAAGCAUUUGCCAAGGAUGUUUUCAUUAAUCAAGAACGAAAGUUAGGGGAUCGAAGACGAUCAGAUACCGUCGUAGUCUUAACUAUAAACUAUGCCGACUAGGGAUCGGAUGAUGUUAAUUUUUUAAUGACUCAUUCGGUGCCUUAC